This 468-nucleotide ribosomal RNA is filed under the name uncultured bacterium. RNAcentral's name for it is "partial 16S ribosomal RNA". It matches the Rfam family "Bacterial small subunit ribosomal RNA", at positions 28 to 507 of the family's 1533-position model. The record is from RNAcentral.
GACGAACGCUGGCGGCGUGCUUAACACAUGCAAGUCGAACGGAAAGGCCCUGCUUUUGUGGGGUGCUCGAGUGGCGAACGGGUGAGUAACACGUGAGUAACCUGCCCUUGACUUUGGGAUAACUUCAGGAAACUGGGGCUAAUACCGGAUAGGAGCUCCUGCUGCAUGGUGGGGGUUGGAAAGUUUCGGCGGUUGGGGAUGGACUCGCGGCUUAUCAGCUUGUUGGUGGGGUAGUGGCUUACCAAGGCUUUGACGGGUAGCCGGCCUGAGAGGGUGACCGGCCACAUUGGGACUGAGAUACGGCCCAGACUCCUACGGGAGGCAGCAGUGGGGAAUAUUGCACAAUGGGCGGAAGCCUGAUGCAGAAACGCCGCGUGCGGGAUGACGGCCUUCGGGUUGUAAACCGCUUUCGCCUGUGACGAAGCGUGAGUGGCGGUAAUGGGUAAAGAAGCACCGGCUAACUACGUG